UGUACUUUUAAUUUAACUGUUUUAAAGAAGCUUCUUGUAUUUGUAGAGUUAAAGAGCUCUUCUUCCUUGGCACCAUCAGCUUCUAUGAGAAGGUGGGAAACCUGGCAGAAUAAGAGCCAGGCUGUACCAACUCCAACUCCCCUCACCCCCAGUCUCUCUGGCUCUGUUAUCAGCACUAGCCUUGGAAUCUGCUAUGUCAGGUCUGAAAGCUGAUCCUGGGUAAUACACAGAGCCAUGUGAAGUCUCUGGGGAUGGCUUUGGAGACCUGCUUCUCCUCAUGGGAUGCGACUGGGAUAGGUCUGGUAUGUAAGAGUUCUAGAGGCGGAGAUGUGCAGCCUAUGUACCAGAGGUUAAAGCAUAAAGUAACAAGUCUAUGGCCAGAAGAAAAUCACAUCGAGGCUACAUGUCGGUCCAUGGCCAAGGAGCAACGUGAAGAAGCUGCUUAGAGUGUCCCAGAAGGACUUGUCUGACCCACGGAUGAUCCUGAGUGAAGUGAGCAAAUCUGCCAAGAACAUGUAUAUACAAAGCCACACACAAUCUCUGUUCUCACCAGCAGAAACGCAGGGAGCUCUCAUCUGCCCCCUCCUUGUCAGCAUUUGCCCUCUCUGUGUUGCUGAUAGACCAUGGAUGACAGCAGCUGUGACGCGGUCGCCCUGUGGUUUUGUCUUCAUCCCUGAUGGGCUGCAGAAGUUUUCAUGUGUUCAGGAUUUCUUACCAGACUCAGGACUGCAAGUGCUCACUGUCACUUCACUGUCCUAACUAAGAAAUCACCAAGUCUGCACUCAUGAAGUCAUGAAGGCAGCCUUCCUUUGCUUUCAUUUGAAUUUUAUCUCUUUGGUUUAGAUCUUUUCAUCCCUUUGUGGUUUUUUGUUUUUUGUUUUUUAAGAUGAGGGUCUCAUUGUCAUGUCCAGUGUUGCUUGGAGUUCCUGGACCUAUGCAGUUCUCCUGUCUCAACCUCUUGAGUAGCUGAGGAACCUGCCACCACCUCAGCAUUUUUACGUAUAGUAUAAGGCAAAAGGUCUGGGUAUGUGGAUAUCCAGU
This 1041-nucleotide long non-coding RNA is filed under the name Cricetulus griseus (Chinese hamster). RNAcentral's name for it is "lncRNA (ENSCGRG00015040764.1)". Lineage: Eukaryota; Metazoa; Chordata; Mammalia; Rodentia; Cricetidae. The record is from RNAcentral.